AAUCACCUCGAUCAAUCCCUACCGUCCAUCUGCGUCUGUCCUGAUCCAUAUCCUCCAUCCAUUCGCCAGCGACGUCCAUCCAUCCGCCAUGGAUUGUCCGCUUCCUCCUCCUCGCGCGAUGACCUUGCGCUGACCACGCUGGACUCGCGCUCCUCCUCACGCCGAUUCUUCGCGCCCCUCCUCAGUCCAACGCUGCUCCCACCGGCGCUCCUCCUCCUCCGCCCUAUUCCUCCUCGCAUUCCCCGUUCGCGCCGCCGGAGGGUCGUCCCCUUCCGCCGACGCCGCCGUACUCCACCGAUGCCCUCGCCGGAACCGAUUUCUUCCCCUUCCGCCGGCGCCGCAAUCCACAUCCUAGGUUCACAGGUCCUCGCCGGAACCGAUUUCUUCCCCUUCCGCCGUGCCGCCGUCGCCGCAAUCCACUUCACAGAUCACUGGAGGCUCUAA
RNAcentral lists this long non-coding RNA (444 nucleotides) under Oryza sativa aromatic subgroup. RNAcentral's name for it is "lncRNA OsARC_10g0003180". Lineage: Eukaryota; Viridiplantae; Streptophyta; Magnoliopsida; Poales; Poaceae. The record is from RNAcentral.